UAGGAUGUGCUAGCGAUUGGAAAUGCUAGUCUAAGCAUUUAGGCAGUUAAAGUAGGCAAAUCCGCUUUAACAAUUCUGAGGUGUGAUGGGGAAGGUCAUUUUGACUGAAGUAUCUGAUUCCAUGCUUCCAAGAAAAGCAUCUAGAGAGAGAAGUAGUGCCCGUACCGCAAACCGACACAGGUAGAUGAGGAGAGAAUCCUAAGGCCGGCGGAAGAAUUGCAGUUAAGGAACUAGGCAAAUUGACCCCGUAAGUUCGCGAGAAGGGGUGCCUGUGAGAGCAGGCCGCAGAGAAUAGGCCCAAGCAACUGUUUAGCAAAAACACAGGUCUCUGCUAAAGCGUAAGCUGAUGUAUAGGGGCUGACGCCUGCCCGGUGCUGGAAGGUUAAGGGGAACACUUAGCGCAAGCGAAGGUGUGAACUUAAGCCCCAGUAAACGGCGGCCGUAACUAUAACGGUCCUAAGGUAGCGAAAUUCCUUGUCAGGUAAGUUCUGACCCGCACGAAAGGCGUAACGAUUUGGGCGCUGUCUCAGCUGUAGACUCGGUGAAGUCUUAGUACCUGUGAAGAUGCAGGUUACCCGCGACUAGACGGAAAGACCCCAUGGAGCUUUACUGUAGCUUGAUAUUGGACUUUGAUGCAGGAUGUACAGGAUAGGUAGGAGACUGAGAGACAUGCACGCCAGUGUGUGAGGAGUCGCUGUUGGGAUACUACUCUUCCUGUAUUGGAGUUCUAACCGGAUGCCAUAAGCUGGCAACGGGACAGUGUCAGGUGGGCAGUUUGACUGGGGCGGUCGCCUCCCAAAGAGUAACGGAGGCGCCCAAAGAUACCCUCAGCUUGGAUGGAAAUCAAGCGCAGAGUGCAAAGGCAAAAGGGUGUUUGACUGCGAGACCAACAAGUCGAGCAGGGACGAAAGUCGGGCUUAGUGAUCCGGCGGUGCUGAAUGGAAAGGCCGUCGCUCAACGGAUAAAAGCUACCCUGGGGAUAACAGGCUGAUCUCCCCCAAGAG
RNAcentral lists this ribosomal RNA (1004 nucleotides) under human gut metagenome. RNAcentral describes it as "bacterial LSU rRNA". It matches the Rfam family "Bacterial large subunit ribosomal RNA", at positions 1483 to 2498 of the family's 2925-position model. The record is from RNAcentral.